GCGGGCGUAGUUUAGUGGUAAAACUCCAGCCUUCCAAGCUGAUCAUGCGGGUUCGAUUCCCGCCGCCCGCU
RNAcentral lists this transfer RNA (71 nucleotides) under Stigonema ocellatum SAG 48.90 = DSM 106950. Its description in RNAcentral is "tRNA-Gly". It matches the Rfam family "tRNA". Rfam says of the family: Transfer RNA (tRNA) molecules are approximately 80 nucleotides in length. Their secondary structure includes four short double-helical elements and three loops (D, anti-codon, and T loops). RNAcentral also lists the same sequence under 1 other name. Lineage: Bacteria; Bacillati; Cyanobacteriota; Cyanophyceae; Nostocales; Stigonemataceae. The record is from RNAcentral.